This 68-nucleotide transfer RNA is filed under the name Ophiopholis japonica. RNAcentral's name for it is "tRNA-Met". The record is from RNAcentral. Lineage: Eukaryota; Metazoa; Echinodermata; Ophiuroidea; Amphilepidida; Ophiactidae.
GGCAGGAGAAGGGAUCACACCUUCAUUCCUAGAUCAUGAGUCUAGUUGCUUAUAUUAGCAUAUCCUAC